UUACAGGUGCCCACCAUCACACCCAGCUAAUUUUCUUGUAUUUUUAGUAGAGAUGGUUUUCACCAUGUUGGCUAGAUGGGUCUCGAACUUCUGACCUCGGGUGAUCCGCCCGACUCGGCCUCCCCUUCCAAAGUGCUGGGAUUACAGGCAUGAGCCACCGCUCCUGGCCAGUUUAGUUUUCACGCUAAGCUUUUUGUUCUGCAGGUUGCCCCCAAGUUUCCUGGCAGUGUGUGAUACUGAGGAGAUUCAUGUUACAUGUAAAGCUGUCCUCAUUUGUGACUAUGGACCUAUGGAGUUGGGACAAUCUCUAUGGGAAGCAGAAGGCAAGGACCCCGGUCAUUUUAGGUAGAAACAACAGCAUGCUAAUGCAAAAAAUUAUGCAGUGUGCU
Molecule: long non-coding RNA, 389 nt
Filed under: Homo sapiens (human)
Lineage: Eukaryota; Metazoa; Chordata; Mammalia; Primates; Hominidae
Description: HSALNT0291055
Source: RNAcentral